GAUGAACGCUGGCGGCAGGCUUAAUACAUGCAAGUCGAACGGUAACAGUACUAGCAAUAGUAGCUGACGAGUGGCGCACGGGUGCGUAACGCGUAUGCAACCUACCCAUAAUUGGAACAUAACGUUGAGAAAUUAACGCUAAUAUUUCAUGUGAAUAUGAGAAGGCAUCUUUUUAUAUUUAAAGAUUCAUUGAUUAUGGAUGGGCAUGCGUAUCAUUAGCUAGUUGGUGAGGUAACGGCUCACCAAGGCAACGAUGAUUAGGGGUUCUGAGAGGAUAUCCCCCAACUGGAACUGAGACACGGUCCAGACUCCUACGGGAGCAGCAGUAGGGAAUAUUGGGCAAUGGAAGCAAAUUCUGACCCAGCCAUGCCGCGUGAAGGAAUACAGCCCUAAUGGGUUUUAAACUUCUUUAAUUAUAGAUUAACCGGAGGUACGUGUACCUCCCUGCAAGUAUAUGAUGAAUAAAGGAUCGGCUAACUCCGUGA
This 485-nucleotide ribosomal RNA is filed under the name uncultured bacterium. Its description in RNAcentral is "bacterial SSU rRNA". It matches the Rfam family "Bacterial small subunit ribosomal RNA", at positions 28 to 508 of the family's 1533-position model. The record is from RNAcentral.